CCGUUCGGCUUGCAAGGGAUACUGUCGGCCUUGGGGCCGGGAGAGGUCGGAGGUACUUCGGGGGUAGCGGUGAAAUGCUGUAAUCCCCGGGGGACCACCAGUGGCGAAGGCGUCCGACUAGAACGGACCCGACGGUGAGGGGCGAAAGCUUGGGGAGCGAACGGGAUUAGAUACCCCGGUAGUCCAAGCUGUAAAGCAUGCGGGUCAGGUGUAGAGCGUCCUUAGAGGGCGCUCGGUGCCGUAGGGGAAGCCGUUAAGCCCGCCGCCUGGGAAGUACGGUCGCAAGGCUGAAACUUAAAGAAAUUGGCGGGGGAGCACCACAAGGGGUGGGACCUGCGGUUUAAUUGGAUUCAACGCCGGACAACUCACCAGGGGCGACAGCUGGUUGAAGGCCAGGUUGAUGACCUUGCCGGACUAGCUGAGAGGUGGUGCAUGGCCGUCGUCAGCUCGUACCGUGAGGCGUCCCCUCAAGUGAGGCAACGAGCGAGACCCUCGCCCUUAGUUGCCAUCGGAUCAAAUGCCGGGCACUCUAGGGGGACCGCUGGUGCUAAACCAGAGGAAGGAGAGGGCGACGGUAGGUCCGUAUGCCCCGAAUCCCCUGGGCUACACGCGGGUCACAAUGCGCAGGACAAUGGGAUGCGACCCUGUAAGGGGAGGCCAAGCCCCUAAACCUGCGCUCAGUUCGGAUCGAGGGCUGUAACUCGCCCUCGUGAAGUUGGA
Molecule: ribosomal RNA, 720 nt
Filed under: uncultured archaeon
Lineage: Archaea
Description: bacterial SSU rRNA
Rfam family: Archaeal small subunit ribosomal RNA
Source: RNAcentral